CACGGACAGAGGAGCCUGGCGGGCUAUGGUCCCUGGGGUCACGAAGAGUCAGACACGACUGAAAUGCGGCCUGGCCCACAGGAGGCACCUGUACGUGGUCCUGGAGCUCAGUGUGUGUUACGCGGCUCAGAGGAGAGAAGAAUCUGGAAGCUGAUGAGAGCCCCGGCCGCCCUCGUGAAAAUCCUAACCCCAUCAGAGGUGAGAAGCAGCAGUUUCCUGUUGAAGUAACCCGGGGACGCCGAGCAUCUUAAACGAAUGUGUUUAAACUUGACCAUGAAAUAAAAUAGUUGAACUCUU
This is a long non-coding RNA of Bubalus bubalis (water buffalo), 297 nucleotides long. RefSeq lists it as uncharacterized. The transcript has 2 exons. The record is from RefSeq and is a predicted model, not a curated record. NCBI's taxonomy places the organism in Eukaryota, Metazoa, Chordata, Mammalia, Artiodactyla, Bovidae.